Molecule: ribosomal RNA, 324 nt
Filed under: uncultured cyanobacterium
Lineage: Bacteria; Bacillati; Cyanobacteriota
Description: bacterial SSU rRNA
Rfam family: Bacterial small subunit ribosomal RNA
Source: RNAcentral
AAUGAACGCUGGCGGCGUGCUUAAGACAUGCAAGUCGUACGAGAAAGCCCGCAAGGGUGAGUAAAGUGGCGCACGGGUGAGUAAUACUUAGGUAACGUACCCAAUCGCUGGGGAUAACUAGGCGAAAGCUUAGCUAAUACCGAAUGAUCCGGGGAGGCGCGAGUCUCUACCGGUAAAGCCGUAAGGCGCGAUUGGAGCGGCCUAAGUCCCAUUAGCUAGAUGGCGGAGUAAAAGCCCACCAUGGCUACGAUGGGUAGCUGGUCUGAGAGGAUGAUCAGCCACACUGGUACUGGAACACGGACCAGACUCCUACGGGAGGCUGCA